RNAcentral lists this ribosomal RNA (500 nucleotides) under uncultured bacterium. RNAcentral describes it as "partial 16S ribosomal RNA". It matches the Rfam family "Bacterial small subunit ribosomal RNA", at positions 30 to 523 of the family's 1533-position model. The record is from RNAcentral.
AUUGAACGCUGGCGGAAUGCUUUACACAUGCAAGUCGAACGGCAGCACGGACUUCGGUCUGGUGGCGAGUGGCGAACGGGUGAGUAAUGUAUCGGAACGUGCCCAGUCGUGGGGGAUAACGUAGUGAAAAUUACGCUAAUACCGCAUACGAUCUAUGGAUGAAAGCGGGGGAUCGCAAGACCUCGCGCGAUUGGAGCGGCCGAUAUCAGAUUAGGUAGUUGGUGGGGUAAAGGCCCACCAAGCCAACGAUCGGUAGCUGGUCUGAGAGGACGACCAGCAACACUGGAACUGAGACACGGUCCAGACUCCUACGGGAGGCAGCAGUGGGGAAUUUUGGACAAUGGGCGAAAGCCUGAUCCAGCCAUUCCGCGUGCAGGAUGAAGGCCCUCGGGUUGUAAACUGCUUUUGUACAGAACGAAAAGGUUUCUAUUAAUACUAGGAGCUCAUGACGGUACUGUAAGAAUAAGCACCGGCUAACUCCGUGCCAGCCGCCGCAGUAA